CUCUGAAUAAGAAAAUCUGAACAACGCCUCCCUCUCCAGAGCAGCCUGCCUUCCCACCUUCCCUGUCGGGCUCUUGACGGCACAGAUGCUUCGCACAAGCCCAGCUGGUGGAGUCCAAUGUCGCUGGCUUUGCUGAGUGCCUGGGGAUGCUGAAACCAUCAGGGCAUUCAUGUUACCUUCAGUGGCUGGCCAUGCUAUACUCAUCUGGCUGAAAAGAGAAUCAUAGAGAGAAUAGAAGAUUGGCACAUGACAGAGCCUUGGACUCCCUCCCUGAAGUAAACAGAGCAACAUCUCACACCUCCUGUUGGAGUUAACCAAGUGAUACCAUUUGUAUAUCUGCCCUGCCCAAACCUCAUGUUGAAAUGCAAUCCCCAAGGUGAGAUGCCUGCCUCCCUUUGCGUUCUGCCAUGACUGGAAGCUUCUUGAUGCCUUCUCAGAAGCAGAUGCUGCUAGGCUUCCUGUACUAUCUGCAGAACCAUGAGACAAUUAAACCUCUUUUCUUACAAAUUACCCAGCCUCAGGUAUUUCUUUAUAGCAAUGCAAGAAUGGUCUAAUACACAAAGGCAGCCUCCUACCUGUCUUUCUCAUGCUACCUACAGAAAAUUUCUUAAGUCCAGAUUUGCCCAGAGUCUCCUGGGAAGAUGCUUGAUUGCCCUACAGAGAAGUCUGUCAGUGUG
Molecule: long non-coding RNA, 677 nt
Filed under: Homo sapiens (human)
Lineage: Eukaryota; Metazoa; Chordata; Mammalia; Primates; Hominidae
Description: HSALNT0183125
Source: RNAcentral